GCGCGGCGCCCCUUUACGACGGCGAUCUCUUAUAUCUGGCCGAGGGCCUCCGGGGAGGUUGCGGGCGGCGAGGGGUGCCUCCGGCCGCACGCCCAUUCUUGUCUACUGACCCGGUUGCCUCGGCGGGCCGCGCCUGCUGUGCUACAGCGGCCGUUCGGGGGGGACGCCUGAGGGGGACUCUUGUUUCCUAGGCCACGCCCCGGGCAGCGCUCGCCGGAGGAUUACUCUGGAAAACACACUCUUGAAAGAACAUACCGUCUGAGCGAGCAACGCAAAUCAGUUAAAACUUUCAACAACGGAUCUCUUGGUUCCGGCAUCGAUGAAGAACGCAGCGAAAUGCGAUAAGUAAUGUGAAUUGCAGAAUUCCGUGAAUCAUCGAAUCUUUGAACGCACAUUGCGCCCCCUGGCAUUCCGGGGGGCAUGCCUGUUCGAGCGUCAUUUCAACCCCUCAAGCCCGGCUUGUGUGAUGGACGACCGUCCCCCCUCCCCAGUAACCACCCACCGCUUAGGGGGGUGGGAGGGAGGGGGACGCGCCCGAAAAGCAGUGGUCAGGCCGCGAUUCCGGCUCCUGGGCGAAUGGGACAUACCACCGCCUCCAGGACCGGCCGGCAGGCUGGCCUAACGCACCAUGUAUUAUUCAGGUUGACCUCGGAUCAGGUAGGGAUACCCGCUGAACUUAAGCAUAUCAUAAGCCGGGAAGAGACAGACUCACGGUCGGCUGAUAGUGAAUAUUGCUCCAUAGGCGGAGAGGACAAUCUCCUUCGGCUUAUAGAAAGAGCCCCCGCUGACUGGAGAGACCCCCCCGUCGAAUAGAGAGGGCCACGCCACAGUAGAAGGCCACACGCGCUACUGAAUAUGUACGCAGCCGAGGUGACAGGAGCCGCUCCACUUAGUUAGAAGGGCUGCGGCCUCGUAUCGAUAGAUGAGCUGCGGCAUGCUAGUAGGUAGUGACGUAUGAGCGCUGCUGACAAUCGGUAGCCGGAUCAGCUGCGCUGGCUGAAAGUGACUACGAUAGCAUCGCAAGU
Molecule: ribosomal RNA, 1025 nt
Filed under: Microsporum canis
Lineage: Eukaryota; Fungi; Ascomycota; Eurotiomycetes; Onygenales; Arthrodermataceae
Description: eukaryotic LSU rRNA
Rfam family: 5.8S ribosomal RNA (bases 285-438)
Source: RNAcentral